GAUUCAUGCCUUCAUUGAAAGUGUCAAAUAUGGCUUUGUCGUGUUAUCGUGUAUGUUCGUGAAUCGUGAUAACGGUGAAUCGUGAUAACGGUAUAACUAACUGAUAACUAAAUUUACAUGAGUUAACAUAGUUAUGCUUUCCAACUGAAGCACUUGACUUGAUCAAGCAGUUAACUGUCUAGUUUGCCUUGGAGGAUGUGACGUCUUUUGCUUCUGCCAGUCAUAUUACUUCUAAUCAUUUCAAGCAACAUGUUAUACCCAUCAUACCUCCACAUGAAAGGACUGCUCUUACAUCCCACGAAAGACUCCCCAGUUGGAGUGAACAAAACUCGAUUUAGGAAAUGAUAUCCAAUCAAUGAGGACAUCUCAAAGGAACAGAGAUUCAGGACUGGAUUAUAUCAUGCUCGCGAUCAGUAUGCUGUCGACCUUGAAGUUACUUAUAACAGCUUGGGAGUCGGUGGAACAAAAAUAAGAACGAGUACGAUCUACGAGAAUUCUCUAGACGGUCUUCCCUACAUAUCUUCAUGACCCUGGCUACCAAUUGCAAUGCGGAAAUAUCGCCGACUGCGUCAUGAGGUGAUGGCAAUAACUCAAACAGAUGAAACUUGAAAUAAAACAUUUAGUUUCGU
Daphnia pulex (common water flea) is the source of this 629-nucleotide long non-coding RNA. RefSeq lists it as uncharacterized. NCBI's taxonomy places the organism in Eukaryota, Metazoa, Arthropoda, Branchiopoda, Diplostraca, Daphniidae. The transcript is spliced from 4 exons. The record is from RefSeq and is a predicted model, not a curated record.